Molecule: ribosomal RNA, 486 nt
Filed under: uncultured bacterium
Lineage: Bacteria
Description: bacterial SSU rRNA
Rfam family: Bacterial small subunit ribosomal RNA
Source: RNAcentral
AUUGAACGCUGGCGGCAUGCCUUACACAUGCAAGUCGAACGGCAGCACGGGAGCAAUCCUGGUGGCGAGUGGCGAACGGGUGAGUAAUAUAUCGGAACGUGCCCAGUCGUGGGGGAUAACGCAGCGAAAGCUGUGCUAAUACCGCAUACGAUCUCUGGAUGAAAGCGGGGGACUCGCAAGGGCCUCGCGCGAUUGGAGCGGCCGAUAUCAGAUUAGGUAGUUGGUGAGGUAAAGGCUCACCAAGGCGACGAUCAGUAGCUGGUCUGAGAGGACGACCAGCCACACUGGAACUGAGACACGGUCCAGACUCCUACGGGAGGCAGCAGUGGGGAAUUUUGGACAAUGGGCGCAAGCCUGAUCCAGCCAUUCCGCGUGAGUGAAGAAGGCCUUCGGGUUGUAAAGCUCUUUCGCAAGGGAAGAAAACUUACUUUCUAAUAAAGAGUGAGGUUGACGGUACCUUGAUAAGAAGCACCGGCUAACUACGUG